AUCUCGUAGUGAGGGUAUUUGUGUUGUAAGUUUUUAAAUCUUUCCCACGCCUUGUAUAAGGAUUCAUCAUCUAUUUUCUGAAAAGUAGUGAUCUAUUUCCACAACU
This is a non-coding RNA of Gossypium hirsutum (cotton), 106 nucleotides long. Lineage: Eukaryota; Viridiplantae; Streptophyta; Magnoliopsida; Malvales; Malvaceae. The record is from Rfam.